GGCGUGUGGCUCCACGGUAGAGUGCUUGCCUAGGAUGUUGUGAGGUCCUGGGUUCAACCCCCAGCACCA
This 69-nucleotide transfer RNA is filed under the name Marmota monax (woodchuck). RNAcentral describes it as "tRNA.Pro". The record is from RNAcentral. Lineage: Eukaryota; Metazoa; Chordata; Mammalia; Rodentia; Sciuridae.